Pan paniscus (pygmy chimpanzee) is the source of this 851-nucleotide long non-coding RNA. Lineage: Eukaryota; Metazoa; Chordata; Mammalia; Primates; Hominidae. The record is from Ensembl.
UUAUCCUAUUAAAUUCUUUAUCUUUCUGUGUGUCCUCAGUGGAGAUAUUUUUCCCUCCCUAUAGCUAAUCAGCUUCCUUCAAAUUGGAUUUCGUAGUGAUAUGGAUCUGUUCACAGUCUUAUGGAGGCUGAUGCUGGCAUUUGAAUGCAGUUCCUCGAGGCUUUCCGAUGAGCUAAGCAUUUUAAAAUAAAUCUUUGGUGGAAUGGAGUCAACGUCCCCACCUCAAAAGGAACCCAACAGGCAACUGGAUUCUGAUGUCAGAUUCCAACCAACUAACAAAGAUGAGAAAGGUGACCCAUAUGGUGGAGAAGGCUUACUGUGUGACAACUGCUUUGUCCUCAAGAGACAACUCUGCCUUUCCAUCAGAAUGCUUCUUUACACAAGACCCAAGGGUGUAGCCAAGAUGAGAAGUAUGUACGCAGGAGUGAAAGAAGUUGAUGUGUUCUACUGGGGAUCUGUCGGGUUUGAGGAGCCAAUGGGACAGUCAAGUAUACAUGAACAACAGACAACUGGAAGUGAGGAAUUGAGACACAGCUACAGCCAGAAUCCACUGGGGGAGUAGCGGUCAUUAAGGUCCUCAAAGAUGAGAUCAAAAAGAACACAUAGCUGGAAAAUUGUAUGUGUCUGUACAGUCUGGUAAGGUAGCGGGACUAUAAAAAGCAAUGGCUGGGAUCUGACUGCGCCUCACUCCGUGUGUUAACUGUCCUUGGAACUGGCAGAGAUGAUAAACGGAGUUCCAGACAAAUCAAAGAAAAGAAAUAAGAACCAGGCCUGCUGACAUUUUGUUUUUUGGAACAAGAAGUAACUCCUAUAAAUUUGAUAAAAGAGCUCCAAGAGUUCUGAAAGGCAUG